GGGGGUGACCCGGUUUCGACAGGGGAACUGAAGGUGAUGUUGCGUGUCGAGGUGCCGUUGGCCUCGUAAAUAAACGGCAAAGCCAUUAACUGGCAACCAGAACUACGCUCUCGCUGCUUAAGUGAGACAGUGACCGCUCAGCCCGGCCUUUGGCGGGGCGCGAACUGAACCAAAAGAAGGCUAGUCCCUGCAAGACUUCGUAGCAGACGGCGAAAUUUAACGGAGAUAAGGCUCUCGGCAACCCGCCCGUUGGUGACCGAUAGCCCGACAAUCAAAGAACGGGAUACACACGUAGACGCACGCUGAACGGACCUUUGGACGGCGGUUCGACUCCGCCCACCUCCACCA
RNAcentral lists this transfer-messenger RNA (348 nucleotides) under Deinococcus gobiensis. Its description in RNAcentral is "Standard tmRNA". It matches the Rfam family "transfer-messenger RNA". From Rfam's summary of the family: Bacterial tmRNA, also known as 10Sa RNA or SsrA, is named for its dual tRNA and mRNA-like properties. Its role is to liberate the mRNA from a stalled ribosome. To accomplish this part of the tmRNA is used as a reading frame that ends in a translation stop signal. The record is from RNAcentral. RNAcentral also lists the same sequence under 1 other name. Lineage: Bacteria; Thermotogati; Deinococcota; Deinococci; Deinococcales; Deinococcaceae.